RNAcentral lists this unclassified non-coding RNA (400 nucleotides) under Haliotis rufescens (red abalone). RNAcentral's name for it is "uncharacterized LOC125372917, transcript variant X2". The record is from RNAcentral. Lineage: Eukaryota; Metazoa; Mollusca; Gastropoda; Lepetellida; Haliotidae.
UCUGGUCGUCAAUACCAUGUCACUGCAGAAGCUCACUUGGAGGAGCCAACAUGUAUAUCCUCCUGGGGCCGCCAGUAGCACCCAACACAGAAGCCUGCAGGAACCGUCGGCGGUAACACCUAACAACCCGGACCCCAGUGCCAGCUGCCGUGAUGAGGGAGUAGAGGUCACUCGUCAACAGCAACCAGUGGCAAAAGAAUACAACAGCAUUCCAGGAAAUACACACGGAAAUAUUAGGUGUAUUGAGGACUACACCAAAUACACCAGGGGCUGUGAAUGAUGCAAACAAAAAUGGAUCAAAGCAAAAUCAAAGAAAGAAGAUUCUGACAAUCAAUAAUUUAGAAAGUUGUAAAAGUUUUCUAAAAAUAUUAAAAUCUCCACAGAAAUGAGUCUUGAAGUU